This 68-nucleotide transfer RNA is filed under the name Pelodytes ibericus (Iberian parsley frog). RNAcentral describes it as "tRNA-Phe". It matches the Rfam family "tRNA". Rfam says of the family: Transfer RNA (tRNA) molecules are approximately 80 nucleotides in length. The record is from RNAcentral. RNAcentral also lists the same sequence under 1 other name. Lineage: Eukaryota; Metazoa; Chordata; Amphibia; Anura; Pelodytidae.
GUUGAUGUAGCUUAACUAAAGCACGGCACUGAAGAUGCCGAGAUGGGCCCUAAAAAGCCCCAACAACA